This is an RNA transcript of Cornus florida, 2899 nucleotides long. It is a transcript of the gene named pentatricopeptide repeat-containing protein At5g61370, mitochondrial, with no coding region annotated. The transcript is spliced from 3 exons. The record is from RefSeq and is a predicted model, not a curated record. Lineage: Eukaryota; Viridiplantae; Streptophyta; Magnoliopsida; Cornales; Cornaceae.
CCUACUUAAUAUAAAGUUGAUUCUUGAAUGGAAUAAGAAAUAGGGAGGAGAAAGGAAAUAAAGGUUGUGUAAAAUACACAAUAAUUUUAUACAAUGUAUCUUAACAGACUGCUAGAGAUAAAAAAAAAAAAAUUUACACAUCACUUGUAUAUUUUGUACAAAAGAAUAUUUUUCUAUUAGAGAGGUCAAAAUAAUCAAGAUCAAAUACUCUAUCCCUGUAUAGUUUGCUCAAAAUGUUAGGGGGUCACUGUAAUUUAUUUCAAAGUCCUCUUUUCUAUUACCAACAUGUUUAAAAGCAAAAUUUCAAAACAAAUGUAGUUCCCUUCGCUCUUAUUCUUGUUUGGGUCGCUGCUCUGCUCUGCUCUGCUCUUACACUCCGUGUUUGUUACGCGCUCUCUAUCGACGAUAAUUAUUAACAAGAUGUUUCAAGGAGAUGGAGCAAAAGAGUGGAGAGUGGCUUGUAUGUUCUUACUCUUGUAAGUGUUCAUUAAUCUUUGGACCAUGUUUGAUCUUCCAAUGCACAUAGGUAUAAGAUUUCAAGUAUUCUAUAUCAGUUCACACCACCUGUUUGAUGAAUUUCCUCAGAGAACGUGAUUAUUUGUUUAUGUAACAGUUGGAAUGUUCUUGCACGUAUCAUGUUUACUUGGCACUGUGAUUGAAGCUCACGCACAGAUUUAUUGAAAAUUCAAGCAUUAUGUUUUCACUUGCUUGUCUGGUUCGAUGAUUGCCUUGGGAAAAAUGUCAUUCUCGCUGAAAUCGAAAUGGCCAAGUUUGUUGCUGAAAACUAUCAAUGCCCAGAAACCAAGACAGUGUUUUUCUUCUCUCUACUGCACAAUGCUGGAAUACCAAUCAUCUAUGGACUUAGAUGAGUUAUGUAGUGUUGUUUCAAGUGGAGUUGGUGGUUUAGACGAUUUGGAAGCGAGUCUUAACAAGUUAACUUUGCCUUUGACUUCAUCUCUUGUUACCCAAGUCCUUGAUUCUUGUAAAAAUGAAGCACCCACUAGAAAACUUCUCAGGUUCUUCUUGUGGUCUAGCAAAAAUUUAAACCAUGAAUUGGAAGAUAAGGAUUUCAAUCAUGCAAUUCGGGUGUUUGCAGAGCAAAAGGACUUCACGGCAAUGGACAUCAUGAUAUCAGAUCUCCUAAAGGAAGGUCGGGUAAUGGAGGCCUCGACUUUUAGUCUUGUAGCUGAGACAUUGGUUAAAAUGGGGAGGGAAGAUGAAGCUUUGGGCAUUUUUAAGAACUUGGACAAGUUCAAGUGCCCACAAGAUGAAGUUACAGUCACUGCCAUUGUUACUGCUCUUUGCGCCAAAGGGCAUGCUAAAAGAGCUGAAGGGGUUGUUUGGCACCAUAAGGAUAAGAUUUCAGGUGUAAAGCCUUGUAUUUAUAGGACACUCCUUUAUGGGUGGUCUGAGUUGGAGAAAGUAAAGGAAGCGCGGAGAAUUAUUAAAGAGAUGAAGUCCGAUGGAAUUAUGCCGGACCUUUUUUGCUAUAAUACAUUCCUCAGGUGCCUUUGCGAGCGAAACCUGAAAUCAAAUCCAUCUGGUCUUGUUCCCGAAUCUUUAAAUGUGAUGAUAGAAAUGAGGUCUCAUGGUAUCGUACCUAAUUCGAUCAGUUACAAUAUAUUGCUCUCUUGUUUGGGUAGAACACGGAGGGUCAAGGAAUCUCUCCGCAUUUUUUAUUUGAUGAGAAAAUCGGGUUGUUUGCCUGAUUGGACCAGCUAUUAUCUUGUUGCUAGAGUUUUGUAUUUGACAGGGAGAUUCGGUAAAGGUAAGCAAAUUGUAGAUAAGAUGAUUGACGAGGGGUUGGUGCCAGAACGUAAAUUUUAUUAUGAUUUAAUUGGCAUUCUCUGUGGAGUUGAGAGGGCAAAUUAUGCCCUUGAGCUGUUAGAGCAAAUGAAGAAAAGCUCAUUAGGUGGCUAUGGGCCAGUAUAUGAUUUGCUUAUCCCAAAGCUUUGUAGAGGAGGAGAUUUUGAACAGGGCAGAAAGCUCUGGGAUGAGGCGACGACUAUGGGUGUCACUCUUCAAUGUUCAAGAGAUGUGUUGGACCCCUCAGUCACUGAGGUUUUUAAGCCAAUCAGGAAGGUGAGGGAAGAAGUUUACCUUGUGGAAAUCAGACCUAGAGCUCGAAUGCAAGCAGCAAAGACUAGGGGAAAAGGGAAGAAGAGAAAAAAGAAAAGGAAGAACACUUCAACUUAAUUUGCACAUCUCUGAUUAGAAGGAGGUCUCAGAAUUACUUUUACAACAAAGGGAAGAUUUUGCCAUCAAAAUCAAUGCAUAUUCCGUGUGUUGCUUCAGUGUGUAUGAUAGAGGCUUAGCCGUGGGAGAGGCAAAAGAGAUGUAAUGCUGAUUUAGAUGACCUGAAUAAUGUAAGUACCGAGUUGCUAUAGUUACUAUGAGUUUAAGCUAGAAAGCAAUUUAUUAUAUCCUGAAGGUGGUAAUGGAGCAGUCCAUUUAGGGAGGCAUGAUCUCCAGGUUGAGGUUGUGGAAUUGAAGACCAACCUUCCUCACUUUUCCAUAUCCUGUUGCGGGAUGUUAGUUUGUUUUUCAAAUGUGUGAAGACCAAAAAAAAAAAAACAUGGGGUGUCUGGGGGCUUCGCCCCAACUAAUUCCCAAGGAUCUAGGAAGGGCGCCUCCGCACCCGAGGCCGGAAAAGUCGUGGAGUAUGGCCGCGGAAGCAUAGCCCCAAGGAAAUUGUUUGCACUCCAUGGGAGUCGAACCUCAGACUUAAAUAUUUAAUGCUUCAUGAGGCACCAGGGCCAAGUGAUCUUGCCAGUUGGGCUAACCCCUUGGGGUUGUUUUGGUAGAUUCUUACCUGUGUAGUUCCUAUUAAUUGAAAACAUAUGUUCAUCUCAAGAUUUGGCAUCCUGGAACCUAUGAUUAAAUUUAGAAAAUAAUAAGA